GGUGGCAUACUGGUUAAGAUCUUGGCUGCUAACCAAAAGGUCAGUGGUUCAAAUCUACCUGCCACUC
This 67-nucleotide transfer RNA is filed under the name Loxodonta africana (African savanna elephant). It matches the Rfam family "tRNA". From Rfam's summary of the family: Transfer RNA (tRNA) molecules are approximately 80 nucleotides in length. The record is from Rfam by way of RNAcentral. Lineage: Eukaryota; Metazoa; Chordata; Mammalia; Proboscidea; Elephantidae.